GUUUAAAUAGCUUAAUUUAUAGAGCGUGACGUUGAAGGUGUCAAGGUGAUUUGUAUAUAUCUUUAAAUA
RNAcentral lists this transfer RNA (69 nucleotides) under Uroteuthis edulis (swordtip squid). Its description in RNAcentral is "tRNA-Phe". Lineage: Eukaryota; Metazoa; Mollusca; Cephalopoda; Myopsida; Loliginidae. The record is from RNAcentral.